RNAcentral lists this ribosomal RNA (118 nucleotides) under Danio rerio (zebrafish). The record is from RNAcentral. Lineage: Eukaryota; Metazoa; Chordata; Actinopteri; Cypriniformes; Danionidae.
AGCAUUAUCCUUGUCACCCUGCAGCCUAAGACCGGUCACUCACUGAAGCUAAGCAGAGCUUAGCCUGGCCAGUACCUGGAUGAGAGAUCACAUCGGAAAAACUAGGUUGCUGUUGAAA